Pelobates cultripes (western spadefoot toad) is the source of this 80-nucleotide non-coding RNA. Lineage: Eukaryota; Metazoa; Chordata; Amphibia; Anura; Pelobatidae. The record is from the annotation of a GenBank genome assembly.
GAUCAGUUUAAAGGACCACUAUAGUGCCAGGAAAACAAACUCGUUUUCCUGGCACUAUAGUGGUCCUUUAAACUGAUCUC